AACGAACGCUGGCGGCAUGCCUAACACAUGCAAGUCGAACGAGACCUUCGGGUCUAGUGGCGCACGGGUGCGUAACGCGUGGGAACCUGCCCUUAGGUUCGGAAUAACUCCCCGAAAGGGGUGCUAAUACCGGAUAAUGUCUUCGGACCAAAGAUUUAUCGCCUUUGGAUGGGCCCGCGUUGGAUUAGCUAGUUGGUAGGGUAAAAGCCUACCAAGGCGACGAUCCAUAGCUGGUCUGAGAGGAUGAUCAGCCACACUGGGACUGAGGCACGGCCCAGACUCCUACGGGAGGCAGCAGUGGGGAAUAUUGGACAAUGGGCGAAAGCCUGAUCCAGCAAUGCCGCGUGAGUGAUGAAGGCCUUAGGGUUGUAAAGCUCUUUUAACCGGGAUGAUAAUGACAGUACCGGGAGAAUAAGCUCCGGCUAACUCCGUG
This 433-nucleotide ribosomal RNA is filed under the name uncultured bacterium. RNAcentral's name for it is "partial 16S ribosomal RNA". It matches the Rfam family "Bacterial small subunit ribosomal RNA", at positions 29 to 507 of the family's 1533-position model. The record is from RNAcentral.